UACAGAGGUCUCAAGCGUUGUUCGGAUUCAUUGGGCGUAAAGGGUGCGUAGGUGGCGCUGUAAGUCUGCUGUUAAAGAGUCUAGCUCAACUAGAUAAAAGCAGUGGAAACUACAUAGCUAGAGUACGUUCGGGGCAGAGGGAAUUCCUGGUGUAGCGGUGAAAUGCGCAGAUAUCAGGAAUAACACCCGUGGCGAAGGCGGCUCUCUGGGACGGUACUGACGCUGAGACGCGAAAGCGUGGGGAGCGAACAGG
RNAcentral lists this ribosomal RNA (253 nucleotides) under uncultured bacterium. RNAcentral's name for it is "partial 16S ribosomal RNA". It matches the Rfam family "Bacterial small subunit ribosomal RNA", at positions 524 to 776 of the family's 1533-position model. The record is from RNAcentral.